Molecule: ribosomal RNA, 461 nt
Filed under: Rahnella sp.
Lineage: Bacteria; Pseudomonadati; Pseudomonadota; Gammaproteobacteria; Enterobacterales; Yersiniaceae
Description: bacterial SSU rRNA
Rfam family: Bacterial small subunit ribosomal RNA
Source: RNAcentral
CAGUCGAGCGGCAGCGGGAAGUAGCUUGCUACUUUGCCGGCGAGCGGCGGACGGGUGAGUAAUGUCUGGGAAACUGCCUGAUGGAGGGGGAUAACUACUGGAAACGGUAGCUAAUACCGCAUGACCUCGAAAGAGCAAAGUGGGGGAUCUUCGGACCUCACGCCAUCGGAUGUGCCCAGAUGGGAUUAGCUAGUAGGUGAGGUAAUGGCUCACCUAGGCGACGAUCCCUAGCUGGUCUGAGAGGAUGACCAGCCACACUGGAACUGAGACACGGUCCAGACUCCUACGGGAGGCAGCAGUGGGGAAUAUUGCACAAUGGGCGCAAGCCUGAUGCAGCCAUGCCGCGUGUGUGAAGAAGGCCUUAGGGUUGUAAAGCACUUUCAGCGAGGAGGAAGGCAUCACACUUAAUACGUGUGGUGAUUGACGUUACUCGCAGAAGAAGCACCGGCUAACUCCGUGCC